RNAcentral lists this long non-coding RNA (585 nucleotides) under Sorghum bicolor (sorghum). Its description in RNAcentral is "long non-coding RNA (SBIC_LNC001084)". Lineage: Eukaryota; Viridiplantae; Streptophyta; Magnoliopsida; Poales; Poaceae. The record is from RNAcentral.
GGGGUAUAUACACUAGUAUAUCAUACACUAAUAUAUUAAAUGAUUUACAAAGAGAUUAUAACAAAAAGAUAAAAUUAAAUUUACAUAUACACUAAUACAUAUACAAAGAGAAAUAAUAACAAGUAUUUAUAAAAGGAAUAAUAAUUAUUUAUAAAAUAAUAACUAUGAAUAAAAUCACAUGUAAAAGACAUAAUAAUAUUCCCUACUUUUAUUUUUAUUUUUUUCUGAUUUUUAUAAUUUUUUGCUGUUUUUUAUGGUUUUAUUAAGUUUUUCAUAAAAAAUAAAUUGUUAAAGUAAAAAAAACUUUCCAGCCCAACAGGCCGAGCAUGCCCGUGACUCCCUCUUCCUUCUCUCCCUCUCUCUGGCAAGUAGGCCCCAUAUGUUGGGGUCGUCCUCUACCUCCAGCCACCGCCACCACUGCACACCGCACUCCGCCCCUUCCACCACCACCACCGCACACCGCACCCGCCCCUUCCUCUUCCACCACCGCCACCGCGCCGUCCCUUCACCUUCCACAACCACCACCACGGCCGCCCCCCUUCCCCAUCCGGUGUAGCGCCACCACCGCGCCCCACCACAGCCGCC